UACACGAGUGGCGCACGGGUGAGUAACGCGUAUGCAACCUACCUCUAACUGGGGAAUAGCCCUUCGAAAGGAGGAAUAAUACCCCAUAAUAUUUCGAUGAGACAUCUCAUCGUUCUUAAAACUCCGGUGGUUAGGGAUGAGCAUGCGUGACAUUAGUUUGUUGGUGAGGUAACGGCUCACCAAGGCAGCGAUGUCUAGGGGGUCUUAAAGGAUGAUCCCCCACACUGGUACUGAGACACGGACCAGACUCCUACGGGAGGCAGCAGUGAGGAAUAUUGGUCAAUGGGCGCAAGCCUGAACCAGCCAUCCCGCGUGUAGGAUGAAAGCCCUAUGGGUUGUAAACUACUUUUUUAUGGGAAGAAACCCACCGACGUGUCGGAGGCUGACGGUAUCGUAUGAAUAAGCACCGGCUAACUCCGUGCCAGCAGCCGCGGUAAUACGGAGGGUGCAAGCGUUAUCCGGAUUUAUUGGGUUUAAAGGGUCCGUAGGCGGGAUGAUAAGUCAGUGGUGAAAUCCCUCAGCUCAACUGAGGAACUGCCAUUGAAACUGUUAUUCUUGAAUCUAGUUGAAGUGGACGGAAUGUAACAUGUAGCGGUGAAAUGCAUAGAUAUGUUACAGAACACCAAUUGCGUAGGCAGUUCACUAAGCUAGUAUUGACGCUAAGGCACGAAAGCGUGGGUAGCGAACAGGAUUAGAUACCCUGGUAGUCCACGCCGUAAACGAUGAUUACUCGAUGUCGGCGAUAUACUGUCGGUGUCCAAGCGAAAGUGAUAAGUAAUCCACCUGGGGAGUACGAUCGCAAGGUUGAAACUCAAAGGAAUUGACGGGGGCCCGCACAAGCGGUGGAGCAUGUGGUUUAAUUCGAUGAUACGCGAGGAACCUUACCUGGGCUUAAAUGCAUAUUGACAGAUUGGGAAACCAGUCCUUCUUCGGACAAUUUGCAAGGUGCUGCAUGGUUGUCGUCAGCUCGUGCUGUGAGGUGUCGGGUUAAGUCCCAUAACGAGCGCAACCCCUAUUCUUAGUUGCCAGCGGGUAAUGCCGGGGACUCUAGGAAAACUGCCCGUGCAAACGGAGAGGAAGGUGGGGAUGACGUCAAAUCAGCACGGCCCUUACGUCCAGGGCUACACACGUGUUACAAUGGCCGAUACAGAGGGCAGCUACCUGGUGACAGGAUGCAAAUCUCGAAAGUCGGUCUCAGUUCGGAUCGGAGUCUGCAACUCGACUCCGUGAAGGUGGAUUCGCUAGUAAUCGCGUAUCAGCAAUGACGCGGUGAAUACGUUCCCGGGCCUUGUACACACCGCCCGUCAAGCCAUGGAAGCUGGGGGUACCUGAAGUCUGUAACCGCAAGGAGCGGCCUAGGGUAAAACUGGUAACUGGGGCUAAGUCGUAACA
Molecule: ribosomal RNA, 1392 nt
Filed under: uncultured prokaryote
Description: partial 16S ribosomal RNA
Rfam family: Bacterial small subunit ribosomal RNA
Source: RNAcentral